UGGCCGUGUCUCUGCCUGCGGCAGAGUA
Molecule: small RNA, 28 nt
Filed under: Bombyx mori (domestic silkworm)
Lineage: Eukaryota; Metazoa; Arthropoda; Insecta; Lepidoptera; Bombycidae
Description: ovarian small RNA-34822
Source: RNAcentral